RNAcentral lists this transfer RNA (74 nucleotides) under Bacteroidales bacterium. Its description in RNAcentral is "tRNA-Gln". It matches the Rfam family "tRNA". From Rfam's summary of the family: Transfer RNA (tRNA) molecules are approximately 80 nucleotides in length. Their secondary structure includes four short double-helical elements and three loops (D, anti-codon, and T loops). The record is from RNAcentral. Lineage: Bacteria; Pseudomonadati; Bacteroidota; Bacteroidia; Bacteroidales. RNAcentral also lists the same sequence under 1 other name.
UGCCGGGUAGUGUAGCGGCAACACAUCAGACCUUGGUUCUGACAUCGCGGGUCCGAAUCCCGCCCCGGCAACCA